AGAACGAACGCUGGCGGCAGGCUUAACACAUGCAAGUCGAGCGCUCAGCAAUGAGAGCGGCGCACGGGUGAGUAACACGUGGGAACGCGCCCUUUGGUUCGGAAUAACUCAGGGAAACUUGAGCUAAUACCGGAUAAGCCCUUACGGGGAAAGAUUUAUCGCCAUUGGAGCGGCCCGCGUCCGAUUAGCUAGUUGGUGAGGUAAAGGCUCACCAAGGCGACGAUCGGUAGCUGGUCUGAGAGGACGACCAGCCACACUGGGACUGAGACACGGCCCAGACUCCUACGGGAGGCAGCAGUGGGGAAUCUUGGACAAUGGGGGAAACCCUGAUCCAGCCAUGCCGCGUGAGUGAUGAAGGCCCUAGGGUUGUAAAACUCUUUCGGCGGGACGAUAAUGACGGUACCCGCGAGAAGAAGCUCCGGCUAACUUCGCGCCAGCAGCCGC
This 444-nucleotide ribosomal RNA is filed under the name uncultured bacterium. Its description in RNAcentral is "SSU rRNA". It matches the Rfam family "Bacterial small subunit ribosomal RNA", at positions 26 to 518 of the family's 1533-position model. The record is from RNAcentral.